RNAcentral lists this ribosomal RNA (1395 nucleotides) under Weissella confusa. RNAcentral's name for it is "bacterial SSU rRNA". It matches the Rfam family "Bacterial small subunit ribosomal RNA". The record is from RNAcentral. Lineage: Bacteria; Bacillati; Bacillota; Bacilli; Lactobacillales; Lactobacillaceae.
GGGUGAGUAACACGUGGGAAACCUACCUCUUAGCAGGGGAUAACAUUUGGAAACAGAUGCUAAUACCGUAUAACAAUGACAACCGCAUGGUUGUUAUUUAAAAGAUGGUUCUGCUAUCACUAAGAGAUGGUCCCGCGGUGCAUUAGCUAGUUGGUAAGGUAAUGGCUUACCAAGGCGAUGAUGCAUAGCCGAGUUGAGAGACUGAUCGGCCACAAUGGGACUGAGACACGGCCCAUACUCCUACGGGAGGCAGCAGUAGGGAAUCUUCCACAAUGGGCGAAAGCCUGAUGGAGCAACGCCGCGUGUGUGAUGAAGGGUUUCGGCUCGUAAAACACUGUUGUAAGAGAAGAAUGACAUUGAGAGUAACUGUUCAAUGUGUGACGGUAUCUUACCAGAAAGGAACGGCUAAAUACGUGCCAGCAGCCGCGGUAAUACGUAUGUUCCAAGCGUUAUCCGGAUUUAUUGGGCGUAAAGCGAGCGCAGACGGUUAUUUAAGUCUGAAGUGAAAGCCCUCAGCUCAACUGAGGAAUUGCUUUGGAAACUGGAUGACUUGAGUGCAGUAGAGGAAAGUGGAACUCCAUGUGUAGCGGUGAAAUGCGUAGAUAUAUGGAAGAACACCAGUGGCGAAGGCGGCUUUCUGGACUGUAACUGACGUUGAGGCUCGAAAGUGUGGGUAGCAAACAGGAUUAGAUACCCUGGUAGUCCACACCGUAAACGAUGAGUGCUAGGUGUUUGAGGGUUUCCGCCCUUAAGUGCCGCAGCUAACGCAUUAAGCACUCCGCCUGGGGAGUACGACCGCAAGGUUGAAACUCAAAGGAAUUGACGGGGACCCGCACAAGCGGUGGAGCAUGUGGUUUAAUUCGAAGCAACGCGAAGAACCUUACCAGGUCUUGACAUCCCUUGACAACUCCAGAGAUGGAGUGUUCCCUUCGGGGACAAGGUGACAGGUGGUGCAUGGUUGUCGUCAGCUCGUGUCGUGAGAUGUUGGGUUAAGUCCCGCAACGAGCGCAACCCUUAUUACUAGUUGCCAGCAUUCAGUUGGGCACUCUAGUGAGACUGCCGGUGACAAACCGGAGGAAGGUGGGGAUGACGUCAAAUCAUCAUGCCCCUUAUGACCUGGGCUACACACGUGCUACAAUGGCGUAUACAACGAGUUGCCAACCCGCGAGGGUGAGCUAAUCUCUUAAAGUACGUCUCAGUUCGGAUUGUAGGCUGCAACUCGCCUACAUGAAGUCGGAAUCGCUAGUAAUCGCGGAUCAGCACGCCGCGGUGAAUACGUUCCCGGGUCUUGUACACACCGCCCGUCACACCAUGAGAGUUUGUAACACCCAAAGCCGGUGGGGUAACCUUCGGGAGCCAGCCGUCUAAGGUGGGACAGAUGAUUAGGGUGAAGUC